AUUGAGCGCUGGCGGCAGGCCUAACACAUGCAAGUCGAGCGGAUGAAGGGAGCUUGCUCCUGGAUUCAGCGGCGGACGGGUGGGUAAUGCCUAGGAAUCUGCCUGGUAGUGGGGGAUAACGUCCGGAAACGGGCGCUAAUACCGCAUACGUCCUGAGGGAGAAAGUGGGGGAUCUUCGGACCUCACGCUAUCAGAUGAGCCUAGGUCGGAUUAGCUAGUUGGUGGGGUAAAGGCCUACCAAGGCGACGAUCCGUAACUGGUCUGAGAGGAUGAUCAGUCACACUGGAACUGAGACACGGUCCAGACUCCUACGGGAGGCAGCAGUGGGGAAUAUUGGACAAUGGGCGAAAGCCUGAUCCAGCCAUGCCGCGUGUGUGAAGAAGGUCUUCGGAUUGUAAAGCACUUUAAGUUGGGAGGAAGGGCAGUAAGUUAAUACCUUGCUGUUUUGACGUUACCAACAGAAUAAGCACCGGCUAACUUCGUG
Molecule: ribosomal RNA, 484 nt
Filed under: uncultured bacterium
Lineage: Bacteria
Description: partial 16S ribosomal RNA
Rfam family: Bacterial small subunit ribosomal RNA
Source: RNAcentral